Molecule: non-coding RNA, 30 nt
Filed under: Mus musculus (house mouse)
Lineage: Eukaryota; Metazoa; Chordata; Mammalia; Rodentia; Muridae
Source: RNAcentral
UAGCUUUGUGGAAUUGUGAAACCAGAGCUC